This 96-nucleotide microRNA precursor is filed under the name Otolemur garnettii (small-eared galago). RNAcentral describes it as "miRNA (ENSOGAG00000025626.1)". The record is from RNAcentral. Lineage: Eukaryota; Metazoa; Chordata; Mammalia; Primates; Galagidae.
UCACCCGGGAUCUUGUUAAAGGGCAGGUUCUCGAGAGGGGGGUGAGACCAAGAUCCUGCAUUUCUAAUCAGCUCCCAGCUGAGGCCAAUGUCUUCU